UGGCGCCAUUGACACUUGGCCCAGUAAUCAACUACCACGUCUUCACCGGACGGGCAUUGGAGCCGCCGUACCUGUCUACAACGGCCGGAGAUGGAAAGAAAAGGAAUAAAUUCGGGUGUGGAAAUGCGUUUCAUCGAUCGUAAUCAAUGAAUUGGAAGAUUAUCCAGUCGACAAUUAACAGCAAAUAAUUCGGUUCGUUUUCUCUGUAAUUUACCAUCAAUCUUCUUCUUCUUCUUUUUUCUCUAAGAUUCCGAGUGUUUCUGCUUGAGGAGAGUGCUGGAGUGCUGGUUUCGUUUUUGUGGCGGGUUGGGUGGAAUUGGGAGGAGACUGUUAAGGCAAAAGGAUCGAGGUUAUUGCGCCGGAUUCUGAUCACCGAGAUUCCAGAUGACGAAGAAACAUCGGAAUGGCGAAAUCUGGGAAUUCGAGCGAGAAAUGUCCGGCGGAGCAGAAGGAGGAGGAGUUGGAGAUGUGAUUCUUGGAAUUGAUGGAGGAACAACCUCCACAAUCUGCGUUUGUGUUCCGUUUUUACCACCUCAGUCUCUUCAGUUUCCUGAUCCUAUUUCUCUUCUUGCUCGAGUGGAAGCCGGCUGCUCCAACCAUAAUAGCGUUGGCGAAACUGCUGCAAGGGAAACGUUGGAGCAAGUUAUGGCUGAAGCCCUUUCAAAAUCAUGUUCAAAUCGGUCAGCAGUUCGAGCUGUUUGUUUAUCUCUUUCGGGUGUAAACCAUCCAACGGAUCAGCAAAGGAUUUUGAAUUGGCUCAGGGAUAUAUUUCCUAGCCAUGUCAAACUCUAUGUUCGAAAUGAUGCUGUAGCUGCUCUUGCAAGUGGUACCAUGGGAAGGCUUCGUGGUUGUGUUCUAAUUGCUGGCACUGGGACUAUUGCUUAUGGAUUUACAGACGACGGAAGAGAAGCUCGAGCAGCGGGUGCAGGACCAAUCUUAGGUGAUUGGGGAAGUGGGUAUGGCAUAUCAGCGCAGGCUUUAACUGCAGUUAUGAGAGCGCAUGAUGGUCGUGGUCCUCAAACAAAGCUCACAAAUAGCAUUCUUCAUACUCUUGGUCUUUCUUCUGCUGAUGAACUCAUUGGGUGGACCUACGCAGAUCCAACUUGGGCUCGCAUUGCUGCACUUGUUCCUGUUGUCGUGUCAUGUGCAGAAGCAGGAGAUGAAGUUGCAAACAACAUCGUGCAACAUUCAGUCAAGGAGUUGGCUUUAAGCGUGACUGCUGUUGUUCAAAGACUUAGAUUGUGUGGUUCAGCAUCAUUAACAUUGCAGAUGGAAAGGCUUCUUUUCCCCUCGUCAUGGUUGGUGGAGUUCUUGAAGGAAAUAAGGGAUGGGGUAUAGCGCAAGAAGUUGUAAAUUGCAUUUCCAAGGACUACCCUGGGGUAGUUCCCAUCUGGCCUAAGGUGGAGCCUGCCAUUGGGGCCGCAUUGUUAGCCUGGAAUUUCUUGAAAGAUUCCCACAAAGAAUAAGGCUUUAAAAAAGUGACUGAUAGUUCUCAUAAGUUGUACAGAAGCAAAGUUGAAAUCGACGAGUCCGGAAUUAUGAAGGGGAAGAAGAAAAAUAAGUCCUGUGAGUGAGCUAUUUCAGUUCUCAACAUUAAUAUACGCAAUUAACUAACCUUCUGUCAUUUAUCAAUAAUAUUUAUGGGGUGAUUGAAAGAGGAUGUGCUCGAAGUGAUGUCAACAUUAAUGCAUGGUGGUUUUAGUGCAUUUGCUCCAAUGUCUUACUGUCAGCCUGAGAUCAAUUCCUUGGCUUUUGAGCCCCUGAGCUUAUUUAUUUUUGUGCUUUGUUCCA
Molecule: RNA transcript, 1791 nt
Organism: Cucurbita moschata (crookneck pumpkin)
Lineage: Eukaryota; Viridiplantae; Streptophyta; Magnoliopsida; Cucurbitales; Cucurbitaceae
Gene name: N-acetyl-D-glucosamine kinase-like
Exons: 8
Source: RefSeq, a predicted model, not a curated record